This 449-nucleotide ribosomal RNA is filed under the name Palapedia cf. nitida LMT-2014. Its description in RNAcentral is "partial 12S small subunit ribosomal RNA". The record is from RNAcentral. Lineage: Eukaryota; Metazoa; Arthropoda; Malacostraca; Decapoda; Xanthidae.
AAAAGUGAAAUUAGGUUACUCUUUUUAAUUUUGGAACUUUUAUUGAAGCUAAAAAUUACCGGGGUUAAACUAGGAUUAGAUACCCUACUAUACUGGUAAAUGUGAGUGACCUUAAAUUAUUAAUAGAUAUGUUCUUAAAACUUGAAGAAUUUGGCGGUGGUUUAAUCUUGUUAGAGGAACCUGUUUUUGGAUCGAUACACCACGCAGAAUCUUACUCAAGUUUGUAUACCGUCAUUAUCAGAUGAUCUUUAAAAGGUAAAUUGUUGAAGUUUAUAAAGAUAAAUUAAAUUAGAUCAAGGUGCAGCUUAUAGGUGAGUUAAAAUGGGUUACAAUAAAAUUUAUUUAUAACGAAGUGACUAAUAAUUAUGAAGGAGGAUUUAAUUGUAUGUGAAGUUAAUAAGUUUGAAAGAUAUAAGCUCUAAACCAUGUACAUAUCGCCCGUCGCUCUC